This 474-nucleotide ribosomal RNA is filed under the name uncultured bacterium. Its description in RNAcentral is "partial 16S ribosomal RNA". It matches the Rfam family "Bacterial small subunit ribosomal RNA", at positions 28 to 507 of the family's 1533-position model. The record is from RNAcentral.
GACGAACGCUGGCGGCGUGCUUAACACAUGCAAGUCGAACGGUAAGGCCCUUCGGGGUCCUCGAGUGGCGAACGGGUGAGUAACACGUGGGUAAUCUGCCCUGCACAUCGGGAUAAGCCUGGGAAACUGGGUCUAAUACCGAAUAGGACCACAGGACACAUGUCCUGUGGUGGAAAGCUUUUGCGGUGUGGGAUGGGCCCGCGGCCUAUCAGCUUGUUGGUGGGGUGAUGGCCUACCAAGGCGACGACGUGUAGCCGGCCUGGGAGGGUGUCCGGCGACACUGGGACUGAGAUACGGACCAGAGUGAGACGGGGGGGGGCAGUGGGGAAUAUUGCACAAAGGGCGAAAGACUGAUGCAGCGACGCAGCGUGGGGGAUGACGGCCUUCGGGUUGUAAACCUCUUUCACCAUCGACGAAGGUCCGGAUUUUCUCGGGCUGACGGUAGGUGGAGAAGAAGCACCGGCCAACUACGUG